AUCCUGAUGAUGCGAUUAUCAAAGUUACGACUGCUGCGAUAUGCGGCUCAGACUUGCACAUGUACCAAGGCCGCACUGCCGCGGAAGCGGGUCUAGUUUUUGGACACGAGAACAUGGGUGUUGUCAUCGAGACGGGACCGGGUGUGACACUGCUGGAGAAGGGCGAUAGGAUCGUGCUGCCGUUCAAUGUGGCGGAUGGGCGGUGUCGGAACUGCGAAGAGGGG
Molecule: unclassified non-coding RNA, 224 nt
Filed under: Hevea brasiliensis (rubber tree)
Lineage: Eukaryota; Viridiplantae; Streptophyta; Magnoliopsida; Malpighiales; Euphorbiaceae
Source: RNAcentral